This is a long non-coding RNA of Felis catus (domestic cat), 2262 nucleotides long. RefSeq lists it as uncharacterized. The transcript has 3 exons. NCBI's taxonomy places the organism in Eukaryota, Metazoa, Chordata, Mammalia, Carnivora, Felidae. The record is from RefSeq and is a predicted model, not a curated record.
CAAAACGUUGCUUUUCCUAUAUCCUAUAAAACAAAAAGUAAAGGAUGAACCAAGUCUCUCAAAAUAGUCACCAGGCCCCUUCUUUGUAAGUCCUGAAGUGAAGUAGUAACUUCUUUGGUGUGGAGAGGUGGAGGGAUUCCCAGUAUUUGUUCUCUGCCUUAAGUGCUACCUCAGUCCAAUCUGAGACUUGAAGAGUUCCAUUUUAUCAUCCAUAGCAAAAGAUAAGAUUAAAUUUGAGAUUUUUGUAGCUUUAUCUCUGUUGAGUUACAGAGUUUACAGCCUGAUGAAACUGCCAAUUCUUUUUCACAUGUGAACUUCCUAAGUCCAUGAUGAACUCAUGUAACUAGGCUUAGGGAUCCAGGUGGAGGAGACUGUAUUUAUCCUCAUGACUUUUAUUUUUCCUGGACUCUAGUUGGCACCCUCACCUCUUUCCUAUCUCUUGCCUUGGGAAAAGCCAAAUCUAAUAUUUCUGUGCCUUCUGAGCUCUCAAUAUCUUCUGUCCAAAUAGAAAAACCAACUUCCACUCCCUUUCUACAACAAGGGAAGAAUGAAAUUGCUACAUCUUGGAUGAACCCACUGAUGAUAUCCUGAAGAUUGAUCUGAAGUGGAGAAGGACCACUCUGAAGUCAGUUUAUGCCCUAAAUUUCAGGAGACCCACAUGCACCAUUAGCCUUGCUCAGGGCCAAUAUUUGCACAAAUCCUUCCCCUUGGUCUCCACUUUUCCUUGUGGUAGUCAGUGGGUUGUGCCUGUGCCCUGUGGCCAAUCAUACCCAAGUGUGGCCCUAGCCUUCUGUGAUGUCAAUGGGCAGGGCACAAGGAUAUACAUCAGGUGCGUGGCUGCAGUUUUGUGGUUGGUGAAGCCACCCAUGCUGGGUGUGGAGACCUUGGCUCCAGAUCCAGGAGGGCUGGGGACAUGAAGGUGAAGGCAGGCAGCUGGCAGCCAGGAGACUCACUGUCUCCUGAUAGUGAUGCUGUAAUGUUACAACAUCAGAGAUGCUUGCUGGCACUGAGGCGGGAUGCAGCAGGACUUAGGACACCUGACAUGGAGCGACAUUGUAUUCCAGGUGCUGAAGCAACAUUUAUCCAAAGAUGCCAUGUUCUGCUACACAUGGCGCUGGAGGACCUCUGCUACCAUUUCCCCUGGGAAGUAACCUGCUCAGGCAGGAAUGCACUGACUCCAGGCCUGGGUCCUUGAGCUACGCUUAGUGCCCUUGUGUUCCAGUUCCAGCUACUUGCAUCGAAGCUAACACAGUAAAACAACGUGUGAACUUCACAGUGUAACAUAUUUGUUUGAAAUAGAAAAGCCAAUACUUAAAUGCAUCUGGAACUAAAAGUGCCCUUAAAUAACCAAAACAAUCUUGAAGAAAAAUAACAAAGUUGGAGGAUUCAUAUAUCCUGAUUUCAAAACUUACUACAAAGCUACAAAGCCCUCAAAACAAUGCAUUACUGGCAUAAAGAUAGAAAUAUAGAUCACUGUAUAAUUGAGAGUCCACUAACAAACCCAGGUAUCCAUCAUCAAUUGAUGUUGAACAAUGUGGAAAGAAUAGGCUCUUUGACAAAUGCUGUUAGGAUAUUACUGGAUAUUCACAUGCAAAGAAUGAAGUUGGACCCCUACCUCAUACCACAUAUUAAUGUUAACUCAAAAUGGAUCAAUGACCUAAGAUAAGAACUAAAGUCAUAAAGUUACUAGGAGCAAAUGGAAGUAAAUUUUCAUGACCUUGGAUUUAGCAAUGGAUUCUUAAAUAUGAUACCAAAAAUAUGAACAACAAAAGAAAAAUAUACAUGUUACACUUAAUCGAGGACAUUAUGAAGAAAGUGAACGGUCAAUCUCCAGAAUGGGAAAAAAUAUUUGCAAGUCAUGUAGCUAAUAAAGGUCUAGUAUCCAGAAUAUAUUAAGAACUCUUACAGCUCAAUAAUGAAAAGAUCAACAGUCCAAUUAAAAAAAAUAACAAAGGAAUAGACAUUUCUCCAAAGAAGAUGUAUAAAUGGACACCAAGCAAAUGAAAAAAAAUAUUAGUUUUUAGGGAAAUGCAAAUUAAAACCAUAAUGAAGCAGGACUUCACACCCACCAAGGUGGCUAUAAUAAAAAAAAAAAAAGGAAAAUAGGAGAGAUUGGAACCCCCAUACAUUGCUGGUGGGAAUGUAGAAUGGUUCAGUCAUUGAGGAAAAUAGAUUGCUGCUUCCUCCAAAAACUAAACAGAAUUACCAAUGACCCAGAAAUUCUCUUCCUAGGUAUAUACUCCAAAGAAUUGAAAACAGAUA